GAUGUUAAAAUUCUGGUCGCUUAA
RNAcentral lists this non-coding RNA (24 nucleotides) under Arabidopsis thaliana (thale cress). Lineage: Eukaryota; Viridiplantae; Streptophyta; Magnoliopsida; Brassicales; Brassicaceae. The record is from RNAcentral.